GACGAACGCUGGCGGCGUGCUUAACACAUGCAAGUCGAACGGAAAGGCCCUGCUUUUGUGGGGUGCUCGAGUGGCGAACGGGUGAGUAACACGUGAGUAACCUGCCCUUGACUUUGGGAUAACUUCAGGAAACUGGGGCUAAUACCGGAUAGGAGCUCCUGCUGCAUGGUGGGGGUUGGAAAGUUUCGGCGGUUGGGGAUGGACUCGCGGCUUAUCAGCUUGUUGGUGGGGUAGUGGCUUACCAAGGCUUUGACGGGUAGCCGGCCUGAGAGGGUGACCGGCCACAUUGGGACUGAGAUACGGCCCAGACUCCUACGGGAGGCAGCAGUGGGGAAUAUUGCACAAUGGGCGGAAGCCUGAUGCAGCAACGCCGCGUGCGGGAUGACGGCCUUCGGGUUGUAAACCGCUUUCGCCUGUGACGAAGCGUGAGUGACGGUAAUGGGUAAAGAAGCACCGGCUAACUACGUGCCAGCAGCCGCGGUGAUACGUAGGGUGCGAGCGUUGUCCGGAUUUAUUGGGCGUAAAGGGCUCGUAGGUGGUUGAUCGCGUCGGAAGUGUAAUCUUGGGGCUUAACCCUGAGCGUGCUUUCGAUACGGGUUGACUUGAGGAAGGUAGGGGAGAAUGGAAUUCCUGGUGGAGCGGUGGAAUGCGCAGAUAUCAGGAGGAACACCAGUGGCGAAGGCGGUUCUCUGGGCCUUUCCUGACGCUGAGGAGCGAAAGCGUGGGGAGCGAACAGGCUUAGAUACCCUGGUAGUCCACGCUGUAAACGGUGGGUACUAGGUGUGGGGUCCAUUCCACGGGUUCCGUGCCGUAGCUAACGCUUUAAGUACCCCGCCUGGGGAGUACGGCCGCAAGGCUAAAACUCAAAGGAAUUGACGGGGCCCCGCACAAGCGGCGGAGCAUGCGGAUUAAUUCGAUGCAACGCGUAGAACCUUACCUGGGUUUGACAUGGAUCGGGAGUGCUCAGAGAUGGGUGUGCCUCUUUUGGGGUCGGUUCACAGGUGGUGCAUGGCUGUCGUCAGCUCGUGUCGUGAGAUGUUGGGUUAAGUCCCGCAACGAGCGCAACCCUUGUUCACUGUUGCCAGCACGUUAUGGUGGGGACUCAGUGGAGACCGCCGGGGUCAACUCGGAGGAAGGUGGGGAUGACGUCAAGUCAUCAUGCCCCUUAUGUCCAGGGCUUCACGCAUGCUACAAUGGCUGGUACAGAGAGUGGCGAGCCUGUGAGGGUGAGCGAAUCUCGGAAAGCCGGUCUCAGUUCGGAUUGGGGUCUGCAACUCGACCUCAUGAAGUCGGAGUCGUUAGUAAUCGCAGAUCAGCAACGCUGCGGUGAAUACGUUCCCGGGGCU
Molecule: ribosomal RNA, 1346 nt
Filed under: uncultured bacterium
Lineage: Bacteria
Description: partial 16S ribosomal RNA
Rfam family: Bacterial small subunit ribosomal RNA
Source: RNAcentral